CUUAACGUCUGGUGGAGUCUCGAGCACAUGUGUACCCAGAAGAGAAAGGAUGGGUCAUAAACACGAGAGGAGGGGAGAUACCGAGGAAGCCAGAUUUUGAGGGCUCAGGGUGAAGGUCGAGACGUGGAAAGUGGUAGAAGUUUUUCUUCUGGAAUAAGAGGAACGAAGGAAGAAUAGGUUUAAGCCUAGAGAAGUCUGAAGAUGGUGAGGAAGACCAAGUCGCUAUGAUUUUUCCCCCCUCUAAUAUGGAUGGAUUCCAGAAAACCCAGAAACAAUAUCUAUCAAGAUCAGAGCAGAGGAAGGAGAGGAAUGGCAAAUAAACAUUUUCCAGUGUUGAGUUAGGAAGAUAUUCGAUCUUUCAAUGUGCUCAACAAAUGGGUUUAAUAAUGCACAUUUCGGUAUAAAACAGUUCACAACAGAAAUAUUUGCUACUCAGCCCAUUUAUCCUGGGAAUUACACAACAUGGACCAUUUUCAAUAACUCUUUUCAUUAUAAUGAUUUCCUCCUGCUCAAGCAACAGAGAUGUACAAACCAUUUUGGUCUAGAAAUGUAGUACGUUGAGAUACAAAUGUAUUAAAAUUAAAAUGUAAUCAUUUUCAUCACUUUGGUUCAGUGUUAUAUUGCCUUUCUCAAGGUACUUUAGCCUAAAGUCUUUCCAACUAGAAUAUAAAGUUGCUUUUUAUUCAGAAUCCAUACAACUAGACAACUUGACAAAAGAGAUUUAUUUAAAAGUCAUGGUAAACUACUGGUAGACCAAAACAAGAAAUGAAGAUAUAUUUUUAGGAAACCAAUUGGUUUCUCUUAAUUUUGUAAGUUAAAGAUCUUGAAGUGCCUUUUGAAUCGUAAAAAAUAAUAUUGUUUGGUAUAAUUUUGACUUGUAGAAUUUUAUAUUUUAAUGUCAAUCCAUAUAUAUUAUAUAGAUAGUAACUUUUACUUAAUAGGAUCACUGAAUUAUGUAAAACCUCUUUGAACAUUCCAAAUGAGUGGAAGUAUAGCAUCACCCAUUUCAUCAUUCAUUCAUUUAUUCAGCAAACAGGUAUUGAAAGCAUAAGAUGUGUAUAGUACAACAGCAGAAACUAAAUCCCCAAGGAGUUUACCAAGUAAUAGAGGGAAUUAAGAUAUAUUUCUAUAUAACUAUAAUUUACGGUACAGUAGCCCCCCCCCCAUCCACUGGGGAUACUUUCCAAGAUGCCCAGUGGAUGCCUAGAACCACGGAUAGAACCAAACCCCAUAUAUACUGGUUUUUCCUAUGCAUACAUACCUAUGAUAAAGUUAAAUUUAUAAAGUAGGCACAGUAAGAGAUGAACAACAGUAACUCGUAACAUAAUAGAACAAUAACAAUAUACUGUAAUAAAAGUUAUGUGAACGUGG
Ailuropoda melanoleuca (giant panda) is the source of this 1371-nucleotide long non-coding RNA. RefSeq lists it as uncharacterized. The record is from RefSeq and is a predicted model, not a curated record. The transcript has 2 exons. NCBI's taxonomy places the organism in Eukaryota, Metazoa, Chordata, Mammalia, Carnivora, Ursidae.